RNAcentral lists this ribosomal RNA (292 nucleotides) under uncultured bacterium. Its description in RNAcentral is "partial 16S ribosomal RNA". It matches the Rfam family "Bacterial small subunit ribosomal RNA", at positions 505 to 796 of the family's 1533-position model. The record is from RNAcentral.
GUGUCAGCCGCCGCGGUAAUACGUAGGCAGCGAGCGUUGUUCGGAAUUACUGGGCGUAAAGAGUGCGUAGGUGGUUGACUAAGUUUGGUGUGAAAUCUCCCGGCUUAACUGGGAGGGUGCGCCGAAAACUGGUUGGCUAGAGUGUGGGAGAGGGACGUGGAAUUCCUGGUGUAGCGGUGAAAUGCGUAGAUAUCAGGAGGAACACCUGAGGUGUAGACGGCGUCCUGGACCAUUACUGACACUGAGGCACGAAAGCGUGGGUAGCAAACAGGAUUAGAAACCCUGGUAGUCC